Molecule: long non-coding RNA, 11960 nt
Filed under: Nicotiana tabacum (common tobacco)
Lineage: Eukaryota; Viridiplantae; Streptophyta; Magnoliopsida; Solanales; Solanaceae
Description: long non-coding RNA (NTAB_LNC011795)
Source: RNAcentral
CCGUUUAUUUAUUUGCUUUGACAUAAAAAUGUAGAAAGAAAAGUUUUGAUGUAUGUCAUGUUCUGCGCAAAUGCCAUAACUGGUAAGCUUAACCAAAGACUUUUAUCUACUAUAUAUAUAGUACAUUCUCUAUUACCAUUCUAAUACUAUAGACAUAAUACUCAAGAAAAUAUAGAAAAUGUUUUCUUUUGCAAAUACAUCACAAGCACAUUUGAGUUCAUCGUUAGCAAGAGGUAGUCAGCAGUCUAAUAGCCAAUCUUCGCCAUUCCAAAAAUCACCAUGUGAGGAGAAGUGCUUUAGCACCUAUAAAAAGCAAGUAAACACCAAUUAAUUAAGGAUGUGUUUGGUAUGAAGAAACAUGUGUGCUAUAUGUGAAGAGGAAAAAGUGAUGAACUUUUCUCAUUAUAAAGAGAAAAUAUGAUAUUAAAAUUAAACAUAUCCUUGUAUCCUAUUUUGAUCAAAUUUUUUAUUCUAUGAGUUAACAGCUUGUGCCAACCUAGACUCUCCUUACCUAGUAUUGCUCGUUAUAUAUUCUUUUGGAAUAAUACAAUUCCACUGGUAGUAUAUGUUUUUGUCAUGACCCAAAAUCUUACUAGUCGUGAUGGCACCUGACCCAACCCGUAAGAUAAGUCAAUUAACAACUAUCCAAUUUAAUGAGAUUUAUUAAGAAAAAAAUGAUAAUACAACUGCUUUUAUACAAGAAUUUCCCAAGAUUUGGUAGUAUAAAUCAUGAGUUUCUAAAAUUUAGAGUUUACAAAGCUAGUAUGAAAUAAAUACAUCAUUUGUCCGAAUGUACAUAAACAGAUUUUCGUAAGUCUAGGGCUACCAUGAACAAGAGGCAGUUAUAACUGGAACGCAUGUAUGUCUUCAAUGAUAGCUUCCAUCAAACACAGCAACAUCAACGUCCAAAAUCUGUGCGCAAGGUGCAGAAGUAUAAUAUGAGUAAAACCGACCCUGUGUACUCAAUAAGUAACAAACCUAACUUUAGGUUGAAAGUAGUGACGAGUUGGGAUAAAAGUCAAAGUUCAACAACAGCUCAUAACAAUAUAAUAAAAGUGGUACAGGAAAUAACUCAGAGAGGUAAUGUUCAACUCAUUUACAGUUCCGAAAAAUAGGCAUACUUUUCAAGUAUAACAGUGAAAACCCAAAUCUUUUACCGAAAGUACCAAAAUAUGAGUAAGUUUGUAAAAUCGCGAUUUUCUUUCCAAAAUUUUUCAACAUGUAAACGUUUCAUUAUCAAAUGGCAUGAGGAAAAGUACAUCUUUAUGCCUACAUGUCAAUGUGUAUGAGAAGUCAUGAAUGACGUGAUACCGUACAACAUGUGAAAAAAUACAUCUCUAUGCAUGUAUUGUCAUGUGUGCAUGUCGAAUGCAGUACAACAUAGUGAAUAAUCAUAUGCAUACUCUCAGAGUAUCAAUCCACUCAGUCUUCUCAGUCCACCCAAUCACUCGGCACUCACGCUCGGCACUUGCACUCAAUAGGUACCUGCGCUCACUAUAGGUGUGCAGACUCUGGAGGGGCUCCUUCAGUCCAAGCGCUAUAAUGAGCCAAUCAUGGCAUGAAUCUGCAUGGACAACUCACGUACUGCAGGGACAACUCAUGUACCAUAAUAUCAAUAUCUAGAUCUGCACGGAUAACUCACGUAUUAUGGUAUCAAUAUUUGGAUCCACACGAACAACUUACGUGUUACACGGACAACUCACGUGCCAUGAUAUCAAUAUCUGGAUCCUCACUUACAACUCACGUGCUAUGGUAUCAAUAACCUCACAACCAGGCCCUCGGCCUCACUCAGUCAUCAAUCUCUCCAGUCUCCCGGGUUCACAAUAUCAUGAAACUAGCCCAAAAUGAUGAUAUGAUGUAUCAAUAAAUAACAACAGAGACUGAGAUAUGAUAUGCAAUGAAUGUAUAUGACUGAGUACAAAAUUAUAAUUUAAACAUAUAAUUCGACAGCAAAAACGACCUCAGUGGGUCCCAUUAAUAGUAGCAUUUGCCUAAGAAUGAUUUCUAACAUGAAUCACGGCUUAGUUUCUCUAACCCAUGAAACAAAUCAAGUUAAUUGACUACAUAGCUCUACCGAAUCCACUGAGUCUCAAUUUUUACGGUGCACGCCCAUCACCUAGCAUGUGCGUCACCUCCAAGCAAAUCACAUAAUAUGUAUAAUCAAGGUUCAUACCCUCAGCUCCAAGUUUAGAAGUGUUACUUACCUCGAACAAGCCAAAUUCAAUACUGAGCAAGCCAAACGAUGCUCCAAAAUACCAUCCCGCGUGUACCGACCUCUGAACGGCUCGAAACUAGCCAAAAGCAACUCAAAUACAUCAAAUAAAGUUUAAGAAAAUAAGUCCAAUUGAUAAAGGUCGUAUAUUUACUCAAAAUCCCAAAAUCAACCAAAAACCAAACCCGGGCCCGUACCUUGGAACCCAAUGAAAUUUAUAAAAUCCGACAACUCAUUCAAUUACGAGUCCAACCAUACUAGUUUCGCUCAAAUCCGACUCCGAAUCAAUAUUCAAAAUUCAAAAACUCACUCUAUAAAACUUUAGGCUAUAACCCUCAAUUUCUUUUUAAACUUCAUCAACCAAUUUUUAAAAAUGAAGAUGGAUUCAUAAAAUAAAAUCAAAGCCAAGCAUAAAACACUUACCCCAAUCCUUGUGAUGAAAUUUGCUUCAAAAAUCGUCUCAAUCCGAGCCCCCAAUCUCAAAAUAUGAUGAAAGGACCAAAACCUCGAAAUAUAUAGAAUCUGCCCGGGCAUCGUCACAUCUGCGACACACUUAGCUGCUCUCUUUUGCGACAAACGUUCCGCUUCUGCAGAGAGGCACUAGAGAAAUGGCCCUCGCACCUGCGGAAAAACGUCCGCUCCUGCGCUCAAAAUCUCGCAUCUGCGCACACGCAGGUGCGCUACAAAAAUUCGCUUCUGUGGUCUUCCUUCUGUUAAUUGAGUCACAUCUCAAUUUCUCAAACACAUGAAAAAUACAUAAAAAAAAAUAUAAGUUAAUUGACUACACAGCUCUACCGAAUCGGCUAAGUCUCAAUUUCUACGGUGCACAUCUGUCACCUAGCAUGUGCGUCACCUCCAAGCAAAUCACAUAACACGUAUAAUCAGGGUUCAUACCCUCAGCUCCAAGUUUAGAAGUGUUACUUACCCCGAACAAGCCAAAUCCAAUACCGAGCAAGCCAAACGAUCCUCCAAAAUACCAUCAUGCGCGUACCAACCUCUGAACGGCUCGAAACUAGCCAAAAGCAACUCAAAUACAUCAAAUAAAGUAUAAGGAAAUAAGUCCAAUUGAUAAAGUCGAAUAUUUACUCAAAAGCCCAAAAUCAACCAAAAACAAACUCGGGCCCGUACCUCGGAACCCAAUGAAACUUAUAAAAUCCGACAACCUAUUCAAUUAUGAGUCCAACCAAACUAGUUUCGCUCAAAUCUGACUCUGAAUCAAUAUUCAAAAUUUAAAAACUCACUCUAUAAAACUUUAGGAUAAAACCCCAAAUUUAUUUUUAAAAUUUAUCAACCAAUUGCCAAAAAUGAAGAUGGAUUCAUAAAAUAAAAUCAAAGCCAAGUAUAAAAUACUUACCCCAAUCCUUGUGAUAAAAUUUGCUUCAUAAAUCGUCUCAAUCCGAGCCCCCAAUCUCAAAAUAUGAUGAAAGGAAAAAAACCUUGAAAUAUAUAGAAUUUGCUCAGGCAUCGUCGCAUCUGUGACACACUUAGCCGCUUCUGCGGCGUCGUUUUUGCGAUAAACGUUCCACUUCUAUAGAGAGGCACUGGAGCAAUGGCCCUUGCACCUACGGAACAAUAUCUGCUCCUGCGACAUCGCAGGUGCGACACAAGGACCCGCAUCUGCGCCAACUCCCGUUCCUGCACUCAAAAUCUUGCAUCUGCGCGCACGCAGGUGCGCUACAAAAAUCCGCUUAUGCGGUUUUCCUUCUGUUAAUUGAGUCACAGCUCAGUUUGUCUAACACAUAAAAAAAUAUAUGAAAUAAUACAAGUUAAUUGACUACACAACUCUAACAAAUCGACUGAGUCUCAAUUUCUACCGUGCACGCCCGUCACCUAACAUGUGCGUCACCUCCAAGAAAAUCACAUAACACGUAUAAUCAGAGUUCAUACCCUCAACUCCAUGUUUAGAAGUAUUACUUACCUCGAACAAGCCAAAUCCAAUACCAAGCAAGCCAAACGAUGCUCCAAAAUAUCAUCCCGUGCGUACCGACCUCUGAAUGGCUUGAAACUAGCCAAAAGCAACUCAAAUACAUCAAAUAAAGUCUAAGGAAAUAAGUCAAAUUAAUAAAGGUUGAAUAUUUACUCAAAAGCACAAAAUCAACCAAAAACCAAACCCGGACCUGCACCUCGGAACCCGAUGAAACUUAUAAAAUCCGACAACCCAUUCAAUUACGAGUCCAACCAUACUAGUUUCGCUCAAAUUCGACUCAGAGUCGAUAUUCAAAAUUUAAAGGCUCACUCUAUGAAACUUUAGGCUAAAACCCCCAAUUUCUCUUUAAAAUUCAUCAACCAAUUGCCAAAAAUGAAGAUGGAUUCAUAAAAUAAAAUCAAAUUCAAGUAUAAAACACUUACUCCAAUCCUUGUGAUGAAAUUUGAUUCAAAAAUCGUCUCAAUCCGAGUCUCCAAUCUCAAAAUAUGAUAAAUGGAUCAAAACCUCAAAAUAUAUAGAAUCUGACGAGGCAUCGUCGCAUCUGCGACACAUUUAGCCGCUUCUGCAGCGUCGCUUUUGCGACAAACGUUCCGCUUUUGCAGAGUGGCACUAUAGAAAUAGCCCUCGCACCUGUGGAAAAAUAUCCGCUCCUGCGACAUCGCAGGUGCAACACAAGGACCCGCAUCUGCGCCAACUCCCGCUCCUAUGCUCAAAAUCUCGAAUCUGCGCGCACGCAGGUGCGCUACAAAAAUCCGCUUUUGCGGUCUUCCUCACCUAUAAUAUAAUACGGACCUACUCGAGGCCUCAAAUUACUCAUAACAAUAUCGAAACGAUGAAUCACACCUCAAUUCGAACUUGAAUGAAUUUUGAACUUUCAACUUCCAAAACGCGCGCCGAAACAUAUCAAAUCAACCCGAAAUGAACCCAACUUUUGCAAACAAGUCCCAAAUAACAUAACGAAACUAUUCAAGUUCCCAGAACUACAAUCCGAAUCCGAUAUCAUCAAAGUCAACUUCCGGUCAAACUUAUGAACUUUCCAAACCUUCAAAUUUCCAACUUUCGCCAAUUAGCGCCGAAUACUUCUAGAAUUAUCCAACGCUCAAAACGACCGGUCGGAUCGUUACAGCUUUUACAAUUUGUUAAAUUCAAAACCCGUUAUCAGCUUUCUCAACAUAUGCUUCUUUUUUCUGGAGGUCAUUAUUACUAUUUUUCAAAUUCAUGUUCAUCAUAUACAUGAGCUUUUGCUCCCUUCAGUUUAUCUUCUGAAUUGGAAUAUACUUAAACUGUCAAGUUUCUCAUUCUUCUUUCACAUUUGACCUUUUCUUGUUCCCAGAAAUAUCAUCAUAUUCAUUUUUAUUAGUCUAUUCAAGUUAGGACUCACAUCAUCUUCAAAUGUCGAUGUAGCUAUUCAAGAAAUAUAAGAAAUCAAAUAGCUUACUAAGAUAGUUUUUUCUUUGUUUUUUGGGACAAAGGCUUGCUAAGAUAAGCACUAAAGAGAUGAAAUACACGUAAACAUCCUCCUAUACUGACUGAAGGAUGGAUAAAGAAGAAAACUUACUCUUUUUCUAUAAUGAAAUGAGUGACAAUACCUGAAUGGAAUGUUCACUGUGAAAACCCAAAAGUGCCUCCGCUACAAGUUUUGAAAAAACAUUUUAUCCUGAAAUUCAAAGAGAAGUGUAAAAGUAAUAUGAAUGUAGAAAGUAGUAGCCGCGAGAAGAAGUCUAAUUCAACAAUUAUUAUUUUAAACUUCCGGUGUCUAAGCCUUUCACUUGACUUAUUGACUUCUUUGGAAAUUGUUUGUCUAUGCAUGUGAAGAACUUAAAACAUAGUUCAAGACAUAUUUGUUUAGAAUCAUUGGACCAUCCUUUUAAAUUUCAAACAGGGCUUUAAUCGAAUAAAGUGUUAUAAAAAGAAAAGCAAUCUCUAAACUUGAAAGCAAACAGUAGGCCAGUACUUUAGGAAACAGGAACACCUAAUAGAUGCUAUUAUAUUCCAAUAAAUAUGCUCUUAAGAAUGGAUUAGAGAAGAUGUCAGCACAGUUGGAAAAAACAAACAGGAGAGGGGGAAGAAACAAACAGCAAUUACCACAAAAUAAAAGAGAACCCGCCAUUUUUAGAGCAAAGAUGCGUAACACUCUAACUACCUCAAUUUUCGAGGUAAAAUAAUUACUCCGCAAAUAAAGCGAAAUGCAAAAAACCAACGUUGACGCUUCCACAUGGGAGAAACUUUCUCUGGUGAAAUCAACUAAAUAUUAAGCAUGAAGCAGGAUGAGAAAAGAAAACAAUGAAGAAGCUGAGAGAGAACGUCGCAGGUUUUGUGAAGACAAUUCUCGUCACUCAAUUUUCUUAGCUGAGUCAACUGAUUCAGUUAAUAUUUAUUUCCAAUGUACUUGGAGUUUUUGAUUCUUCAUGAAUUCAAUUUUUUCCGCAAGUAUUUCUAAUUCUUGCAUAUAAAAGGAUAUGUUUAAGGCCUUAAGUCUCAAAAUAUAUGACUGAAAAUAUUUUUGAGGGUAUUUAAUUGUUAAUUCUAAGGCUCCAAUGCUAUUCAGCCAAUUGGUCAAACAUAUGACAUGCAAUUACAAGAAAAUAUAUGAAAGAGCGAUAUGAAUUAGCCAUCUCAAUGCAAUUAGAGCAAAGUAAUCAUAGCAACCCUUCACCAAUUUUACACAACCAUCAAAACAGUCCAAAAUAAGAAGAAAAACAAAAGAUAUCUAUCAAAAUCUCAUCACCAAGACACAAGUAAAACAAAUAAAGGAAAAAGAGAACAAAGGCCAAAAACACAAAGAGCGAAACUGUAAAAACCAACAUAUAUCAUCACAAUUCCAUUACUAAGAAACUCCACAGAAUUCACAUUUAUGAUAAACCCCAAAACCAAAGAGCAAAUGAAAGAAUGUAGAAAUCAAGUAGAAGCUAAUGGCCAUAGUGAACAAGAAACUAAGGAAAAGAUGGAAUAGAGUAAUAAUCGAGCAGAAAGACUUAAGAUUAAACUCAAAUUUCAACUCAAAAAGGGAUUAUCACCUGAUUUUUGCUCUUUCUCGGUGCAACGCUUUGAUAAUGGUGAAUUGUUGCUGUACUGCCUUUUCUCCGUGCAUGCCUAGAAAAUUCCAGAUUGAUAUAUUGAGUAGAAAGAGAGAAAAGGGAAAGAGAUGCAAACCUAUAACAAUCACAAGUAGACUUAUCGGUGGGCAAAAAAGCCACGUAUAUGUAUGAUUUAAUAAAAGUGAUGCAAUAUGACUAAAUUGCCCUCGAGCUUUUUGAAAAAGACAUUAAGCAGACACGUCGAAACUCAAGCGCUUCUAAUAUAUUUAAAAAUAAGCACCAAUCACUUAGUGUUGUUUAACAAGAGGGAUGUAAAGGGUAGGGCCAUCUGCUGCUGGGAAUAAACCUUCCAUAGAAAUAUUAUUUUCGGUAAUAACAACGAAUAAUAACGUAGUACCGAUAUACGGUAAUCAACAAGAAUAAAAAAAAAUAAAGACACAAAGAUUUUAACGUGGAAACCCUUAUGAAUAAGAAAAAAAAUCACGAGCCCGAGAGGAGAAAAGUAAUCCACUAUAAUGAGGAAUUUUACACUAUGUAAUCCUGAGUAAAUACUCGAGAGACCACUAUGCACUCAUAACCCUUUUUUAAGAUUCACACCUCACUAUAAUAUCGCUCACAGUCUCUAUUUUCUCUCAUACACUACACCGCCUGUGAAUGGCUCACACUACUCUCUAACUCUCAGAUAUAUUUUCCUCUCAGAUUGUAUGUCUGAAAAGAGAGCUGAAGCUCUCCUUACAUAGAAGGGAUAGUUGCCCCAAUUAACUAAUUAGAAGAUUGUAUCUCAAUUUACAACUUGCACUAUGCAAUUUGCAACGCAAAUUGGUUGCCAACUUUAAAACUUAUUUUUGCUAGCAUUAAAUUCCCUUUAUUUUCUUUGUUCUAUUAAUGGGUAUGGACCCCAUCAAUCUCCCCUCUAGAUCCAUUCACCGGAAGAAGAUAAUACUUGGGUUGCUAGUUUGAGUGCAUGCCGACAAGCUUUUUGCAUAGCUCGAACUUGUCUCGUGGUACCACCUUGGUUAGCAUUAUGCAAGAUUUCACUAGUGAAAAUCUUCAGAACUUGCGGAGAUUCACUCUCUACCUUUUCUCGGAUCCAGUGAUAUCUUACAUCGAUAUGUUUGAUCCUUGCAUGGUACAUGGAGUGCUUGUUCAGGUCUAUUGCACUUUGGCUGUCACAAUAGACAGCAUACUAUUUUUGAUGCAAGCCAAGCUUUUGAAGGAACCGUUUCAUACAUAUCAUCUUUUUGCCAGUUUCAGUAAUGGCAAUGUACUCUACUUCAGUUGUAGAGAGUGUGACACACUUCUACAACCUCGAAUGCCAUGAUAUAGCACCCCCCUAAAAAUGUAAAAAAAUAUCAAGUAGUGGAUGUUCUAUUAUCAUAGUCACCUACCAUAUCAGCAUCUGUAUAGCUCUUCAAGAUUGGAUCAGAUCCUUCAAAGCACAAACAAUCUCCUACGUUACCUCUCAAGUGACUGAGUAUCCACUGGACUGCUUCCUAGUGUUCUUUUAAAUGAUUUUCAAGAAACAUGCUGACAACACCAACUGCGUGAGUAAUAUCAGGUCUAGUGCAUACUAUUGCAUACAUCAAAUGUCUGACACAUCUUCCAUUAUUGUAGGACACAUCUUCUUGCUUAACUUAGCAAGAGGUGUGCUGACUAGCUUAACACUCUUCAUGUUGAAGCAUUCCAGUACACGUUCAAUGUACUUUUUCUUAGACAACCACAACUUUUUACUUGUUCGCUAUCGAACAAUCUUCAUUCCCAGAAUUUAUUGUGCUGGGCCCAAGUCCUUCAUAUCAAAUGACUUGGACAAUCCCUUCAACUUUUCAAUCAACUCCUUAUUUCGUCAUACAAUUAACAUGUCAUCCAUAUACAACAACAAAAUAAUAAUAUUGUUGUCAGAGAAUCUUUUAAAGUAUACACAUGGAUCAUAAUAUGUCUUUAUGUAAGUUUGACUUUUCAUGAAUGAGUCAAACUUCUUGUACCACUACCUUAGUGCAUGUUUCAAUCUAUAAAGACUCUUAUUCAAUUUGCACACCAUGUGUUUCUUUCCAUAUACAUCAAAUCCUUUUGGCUGCUCCAUAUAAAUCUCUUCUUCCAAAUCUCCGUGAAGAAAUGCAGUUUUCACGUCCAACUGCUCCAUAUCAAGAUCUAGGCUAGUUGUUAAGCUCAAAAUUGUUCGAAUAGAAGUCAUUUGACAACAUGUGAGAAAAUUUUGUCAAAAUCAAUACCUUUUUCUGUUCGAAGCCUUUUACCACCAAUCGAUCUUUGUAUCUGACCAGCUUGCCAUUUUCAUCUUUCUUGAGUUUAAAGACCCAUUUUCAUUUGAGUGGUCUAUUACCCUUUGGAAGUUCAACCAGCUUGUAUGUGUCAUUUUUCUGUAGAUAUUCCAUCUCUUCUUGCAUAGCUCUCAUCCACUUGUUCUUUUCUAGAUAGAACAUCAUCUCUUUAAGACUUUCUGUCUCCCCCUCAUCACUGAUGAUGACAUACUCUAUGGAAGGGUACCUACAUGACUCUACCCUUGGCCUCUCUGAUCUCCUUAGAGGUUGAGGUUGUUCUUCCUCUUGAGUGGGGUACUCCACUUGAUCUACAUCAUCAUCAAGUUACUCCCCCUGCUCAAUAACCUCACCAGGUUGCUCCCCCUACUUGGCAACCUUGUCGAUUGUACUUUUUGCUCUUGUGGGAUUGCUAGAAGUAUAGGGAAUGGUAACAAGGUUAGGGAUUAUACCAUUCUUGGCCUUCUCUCAUUGAUCAUCUACAACUCCAACUUCACUUUCUUGGAAGAUUACAUCUCUGCUUCUGAUGACCUUCUUCUUUACAUGAUCCCACAAUCCGUACCCAGACUCUUUAUCUCCAUAUCCGAUGAAUAUGAAGGGAACAUUUUUAUCAUCCAGCUUUGUUCUCUGCUCCUUUGGUACAUGUGCAAAAGCUCUGCAACACCUUCAUAUUUAAGUAGGACACCUCCUUAUUGGUCUAAACUCUCUUUGGGAUAUCAACCUCCAAUGGAACUAGUGGAGUUCUAUUGAUCAGGUAACUUGUUGUCUGGACUACUUCACCCUAGAAUGACUUGGAAGUUUAGCCAUUCUAAGCAUGCUUCUCACCUUCUCAACAAUGGUGCGGUUCAUCCUCUCAGCUGCACUAUUGUGCCGUGGGGUUCCAGGAACUGGCUUUUCAUGUCUGAUCCCAUGGCUCGAAGAGUACUCUUCAAAUUCCCUUGAAGUGUACUCACCUCCAUUGUUACUUCAGAGACGGUUUAGCUUUUCACACGUCUCCCUUUCCACCAAAGCAUGAAACUUCUGGAAAACUUGAAAUACCUGAUCUUUGGUUUUCAAAAUAUAAAUCCACAAUUUUCGUGAAGCAUCAUCAAUAAAAGUAACAAAAUACUUAUUACCGCCUAUCGAUUCAAUUUCCAUUAGACCACAAACAUUAGAAUAUACCAAAUCAAGAAUAUUCAAUUUUUUCAGACAAUGUCUGAAACGAGACUCUAUGUUGCUUACCAAAUAAAUAGUAGUCACAAGGUCUUACCGUUAUACCUUUGGCAAAAGAGAUAAGUGAUUUCCUAGCAAGAAUCUGCAAUCCUUUCUCGCUCAUAUGACCCAUUCUUUUGUGCUACACGUCUGCAGAAAUAUCAUCUUGUGUCGUAUUCAAUUCACCUCGGCAUAUUUCUGCAUUUGUCUUAUACAACGUGCCACGAUCAACUCCCUUUGCAAUCACCAAUGAUCCCUUGGUGAGUCUCCACUUUAGAUUUGCAAAAUAGUUCUCAUAUCCAUCUCGAUCUAAAGUUAUUCCUGAGAUUAAGUUCAUCCACAAAUCAGGUACAUAUUACACGUUCUUUAGAACCAAUGUGCAUCCGACAUUUUUCUUGAUACAAAUGUCACCGAUCCCUGCAAUAUCUAAGUAACUCGUGUUACCCAUUUUCACAGUGCUGAAAUCACCUACUACACAUCUGCAAAAAAAAUUCUCUUACCUGUGUGGCAUGAUAAAAUGCAGCCAUGUCAACCACCCAUUCCGACUCUGGACCUGUCAAGUGUAUGAAUUCCUCUUCCUCAUUUAUAAAGAGAACAACAUUAUCAUUGUUUUAAACCAUGGCGGUUGUGCUGUCGUUAUUCUUCUAGACACUACUUUCACCUUUGCUCUUUCUUAGAUUUGGGCAAUCUCUUUUGAAGUGACCCGGUUGAUCACAAUUGUAUCAAUUCCUGGCUUUUGAUUUGGAUCGGUUCUUGGACUUCCCACGACCUCCGGAUCUACCAUAGUUACUCGAACUCCUUUAAUUUGAUAACUCCUACCUCUACCUUCUGUGAUGAGAGUCUCUCCUUGAUUUUCAGGUUUCUUUCUCAUCUUCUCAUUGAGUAUAAAAGUCGAUGUGACAUCCUUCAACUCAAUAGUGGUUUUUCCGUACAUGAAGGUUGUUGCCAAACAAUUAUAUUAUCGUACGAGAUGGAAAUGAGUUUAAGAGCAAGAUGGCUUUAUCCUCUUACUCGAUCUUUACUCCGAGUUUGGCAAGCUGCAUGAUUAGUCCAUUAAAUACAUUUAUAUAUGACAAAAUAUUUGUACUUUUGCCCAUAUGUAGAACGUAUAAUUGCUUCUUCAGGUACAAUUUAUUUAUCAACAUUUUUUAAAUGUAUAGGCUUUCCAACCUUGUCCAAAUGCCACAUGUAGUAUCUUCAUCAAUAAUGUUAUUUAUCAUAUCAUCUGAUAAGUGCAAUCUGAUUACAUUAGCAGCCUUUUCAUCCAAGUCAGCCCAAUCCUCAGCUUUCAUGGUAUCAGACUUCUUGGCAUCACUGUG